Molecule: non-coding RNA, 113 nt
Organism: Acanthosepion pharaonis
Lineage: Eukaryota; Metazoa; Mollusca; Cephalopoda; Sepiida; Sepiidae
Source: the annotation of a GenBank genome assembly
UAUGGCCCUAUCACAUUGAAACACCAGUUCUCAUAUGAUCACCAAAGGUAAGCAACAUCAAGCCUAGUCAGUACCUAGAUGGGUGACAGCUUGGAAAUAACAGGUGCUGUAAG